UGCAGUCGAACGAACUCUGGUAUUGAUUGGUGCUUGCAUCAUGAUUUACAUUUGAGUGAGUGGCGAACUGGUGAGUAACACGUGGGAAACCUGCCCAGAAGCGGGGGAUAACACCUGGAAACAGAUGCUAAUACCGCAUAACAACUUGGACCGCAUGGUCCGAGUUUGAAAGAUGGCUUCGGCUAUCACUUUUGGAUGGUCCCGCGGCGUAUUAGCUAGAUGGUGGGGUAACGGCUCACCAUGGCAAUGAUACGUAGCCGACCUGAGAGGGUAAUCGGCCACAUUGGGACUGAGACACGGCCCAAACUCCUACGGGAGGCAGCAGUAGGGAAUCUUCCACAAUGGACGAAAGUCUGAUGGAGCAACGCCGCGUGAGUGAAGAAGGGUUUCGGCUCGUAAAACUCUGUUGUUAAAGAAGAACAUAUCUGAGAGUAACUGUUCAGGUAUUGACGGUAUUUAACCAGAAAGCCACGGCUAACUACGUGCCAGCAGCCGCGGUAAUACGUAGGUGGCAAGCGUUGUCCGGAUUUAUUGGGCGUAAAGCGAGCGCAGGCGGUUUUUUAAGUCUGAUGUGAAAGCCUUCGGCUCAACCGAAGAAGUGCAUCGGAAACUGGGAAACUUGAGUGCAGAAGAGGACAGUGGAACUCCAUGUGUAGCGGUGAAAUGCGUAGAUAUAUGGAAGAACACCAGUGGCGAAGGCGGCUGUCUGGUCUGUAACUGACGCUGAGG
RNAcentral lists this ribosomal RNA (729 nucleotides) under Lactiplantibacillus pentosus. RNAcentral's name for it is "bacterial SSU rRNA". It matches the Rfam family "Bacterial small subunit ribosomal RNA", at positions 56 to 751 of the family's 1533-position model. The record is from RNAcentral. Lineage: Bacteria; Bacillati; Bacillota; Bacilli; Lactobacillales; Lactobacillaceae.